Molecule: ribosomal RNA, 253 nt
Filed under: uncultured bacterium
Lineage: Bacteria
Description: partial 16S ribosomal RNA
Rfam family: Bacterial small subunit ribosomal RNA
Source: RNAcentral
GACAGAGGUGCCGAGCGUUAGGCGGAAUCACUGGGCUUAAAGCGUGUGUAGGCGGAUCUGUAAGUACCUUGUGAAAUCCCACGGCUCAACCGUGGAACUGCUUGGUAUACUGCGGGUCUUGAGCCACCUAGGGGCAAGUGGAACAAACGGUGGAGCGGUGAAAUGCGUAGAUAUCGUUUGGAACGCCAAUGGUGAAAACAACUUGCUGGGGGUGUGCUGACGCUGAGACACGAAAGCCUGGGGAGCAAACGGG